Molecule: ribosomal RNA, 497 nt
Filed under: uncultured bacterium
Lineage: Bacteria
Description: partial 16S ribosomal RNA
Rfam family: Bacterial small subunit ribosomal RNA
Source: RNAcentral
GACGAACGCUGGCGGCGUGCCUAAUACAUGCAAGUUGAGCGCUGAAGGUUGGUACUUGUACCAACUGGAUGAGCAGCGCACGGGUGAGUAACGCGUGGGGAAUCUGCCUUUGAGCGGGGGACAACAUUUGGAAACGAAUGCUAAUACCGCAUAAAAACUUUAAACACAAGUUUUAAGUUUGAAAGAUGCAAUUGCAUCACUCAAAGAUGAUCCCGCGUUGUAUUAGCUAGUUGGUGAGGUAAAGGCUCACCAAGGCGAUGAUACAUAGCCGACCUGAGAGGGUGAUCGGCCACAUUGGGACGGAGACACGGCCCAAACGCCUACGGGAGGCAGCAGUAGGGAAUCUUCGGCAAUGGACGAAAGUCUGACCGAGCAACGCCGCGUGAGUGAAGAAGGUUUUCGGAUCGUAAAACUCUGUUGGUAGAGAAGAACGUUGGUGAGAGUGGAAAGCUCAUCAAGUGACGGUAACUACCCAGAAAGGGACGGCUAACUACGUG